Molecule: long non-coding RNA, 639 nt
Filed under: Junco hyemalis (dark-eyed junco)
Lineage: Eukaryota; Metazoa; Chordata; Aves; Passeriformes; Passerellidae
Description: lncRNA (ENSJHYG00000016032.1)
Source: RNAcentral
ACCAGGCCGCGGCCGCUGGGCGUGCACGAACCGUGCGCGGCUGACCCGCGCCCUCUAGCGGCGGCGCGGGGAGCGGCCGCCAUGUUCUGCCCCGGGGAGCGGCGGCAGGGCGGCGCCGCCCGCCAUUGGCCAGUUCAAGCGCCGCGGCCGGGCCAAUCGGGGCGGCGCCGGGAGAUUCAAACGCUCGUUGCGCGGCGGCGGCUAUGGCGGCGCGUGCGGCUCCGCAGCUCCCGGCCAGCCGUAGGUCCGAGCCUGCAUUCCGCGAACAAAGACGACAGAAAGUCCAGGAGUAUCUAUCAAGAAAGAAGACUUUUUCUGGUGUGACCAUUCAAGAAAAGCAGACAUCGAUCAGUAGCAGAACUAGGAGAGCAACUACCAGUAAACUUCAAGAGAAGUUACAGCUCUCAACAUCUCCCAAGCCAGAAAUGGUAAGUUUUUGACUGAUACUUAAAUACUGAUGGCACUCUUGUUUCUAUGGCUACAACAUUCCACUUACUUAAGUCUAUGUUGUAUGACUCCCAGAGCAUGAGAAGUUUGCAGGUGCAGAGGUGUGGCUUGUUAGAACUUUGUUUAGUCACUGCUUAUUAUAUGCUUUAUGGAAAGCUGCGAUAUUACAGUAGGAAAUGGAUUAUAUUGAUG